GAUGAACGCUGGCGGCGUGCUUAACACAUGCAAGUCGAACGGAUAUCAAGGAGAGCUUGCUCGAAUUGGUAUUAGUGGCGGACGGGUGAGUAACGCGUGAGUAACCUGCCCUAUGCAGGGGGACAACAUCGGGAAACUGGUGCUAAUACCGCAUGAGACCACAGUAUCACAUGGUACAGGGGUCAAAGCUUUGGCGGCAUAGGAUGGACUCGCGUCCAAUUAGCUAGUUGGUGAGGUAAUGGCUCACCAAGGCGACGAUUGGUAGCCGAACUGAGAGGUUGAUCGGCCACAUUGGGACUGAGACACGGCCCAGACACCUACGGGUGGCAG
Molecule: ribosomal RNA, 330 nt
Filed under: uncultured Bacillota bacterium
Lineage: Bacteria; Bacillati; Bacillota
Description: bacterial SSU rRNA
Rfam family: Bacterial small subunit ribosomal RNA
Source: RNAcentral